Molecule: ribosomal RNA, 1192 nt
Filed under: Enterococcus durans
Lineage: Bacteria; Bacillati; Bacillota; Bacilli; Lactobacillales; Enterococcaceae
Description: bacterial SSU rRNA
Rfam family: Bacterial small subunit ribosomal RNA
Source: RNAcentral
UGCAGUCGUACGCUUCUUUUUCCCCGGAGCUUGCUCCACCGGAAAAAGAAGAGUGGCGAACGGGUGAGUAACACGUGGGUAACCUGCCCAUCAGAAGGGGAUAACACUUGGAAACAGGUGCUAAUACCGUAUAACAAUCGAAACCGCAUGGUUUUGAUUUGAAAGGCGCUUUCGGGUGUCGCUGAUGGAUGGACCCGCGGUGCAUUAGCUAGUUGGUGAGGUAACGGCUCACCAAGGCCACGAUGCAUAGCCGACCUGAGAGGGUGAUCGGCCACAUUGGGACUGAGACACGGCCCAAACUCCUACGGGAGGCAGCAGUAGGGAAUCUUCGGCAAUGGACGAAAGUCUGACCGAGCAACGCCGCGUGAGUGAAGAAGGUUUUCGGAUCGUAAAACUCUGUUGUUAGAGAAGAACAAGGAUGAGAGUAACUGUUCAUCCCUUGACGGUAUCUAACCAGAAAGCCACGGCUAACUACGUGCCAGCAGCCGCGGUAAUACGUAGGUGGCAAGCGUUGUCCGGAUUUAUUGGGCGUAAAGCGAGCGCAGGCGGUUUCUUAAGUCUGAUGUGAAAGCCCCCGGCUCAACCGGGGAGGGUCAUUGGAAACUGGGAGACUUGAGUGCAGAAGAGGAGAGUGGAAUUCCAUGUGUAGCGGUGAAAUGCGUAGAUAUAUGGAGGAACACCAGUGGCGAAGGCGGCUCUCUGGUCUGUAACUGACGCUGAGGCUCGAAAGCGUGGGGAGCAAACAGGAUUAGAUACCCUGGUAGUCCACGCCGUAAACGAUGAGUGCUAAGUGUUGGGAGGGUUUCCGCCCUUCAGUGCUGCAGCUAACGCAUUAAGCACUCCGCCUGGGGGAGUACGACCGCAAGGUUGAAACUCAAAGGAAUUGACGGGGGCCCGCACAAGCGGUGGAAGCAUGUGGGUUUAAUUCGAAGCAACGCGAAAGAACCUUACCAGGUCUUGACAUCCUUUUGACCACUCUAGAGAUAGAGCUUCCCCUUUGGGGGCAAAGUGACAGGUGGUGCAUGGUUGUUGUCAGCUCGUGUCGUGAGAUGUUGGGUUAAGUCCCGCAACGAGCGCAACCCUUAUUGUUAGUUGCCAUCAUUCAGUUGGGCACUCUAGCAAGACUGCCGGUGACAAACCGGAGGAAGGUGGGGAUGACGUCAAAUCAUCAUGCCCCUUAUGACCUGGGCUA